This 22-nucleotide non-coding RNA is filed under the name Arabidopsis thaliana (thale cress). Lineage: Eukaryota; Viridiplantae; Streptophyta; Magnoliopsida; Brassicales; Brassicaceae. The record is from RNAcentral.
AGCGACGGGAUUGAAGGUCGCG